Long non-coding RNA from Canis lupus familiaris (dog), 5307 nucleotides. RefSeq lists it as uncharacterized. NCBI's taxonomy places the organism in Eukaryota, Metazoa, Chordata, Mammalia, Carnivora, Canidae. The transcript has 12 exons. The record is from RefSeq and is a predicted model, not a curated record.
CACCAACUUAAACACUACAUUUGAAAGUCUUUUAACCCUUCCUGUCAAGUUUGGCUGAGGUUCUAGGGAAGACUCUUUUUGUUUCAAAUUGGAAUAACCUGGAGCAGACCAGAACUAAGGCAUUCUGAGGCUGUAGUUUGGAGUGGGGUCUGAGAACCUGCACUGCGGCCACGUGGCCCCAGUCACUCUCCAGGCAAGUGGGCACAGGCUGCAGCUGCAGAAGUCGUGCUGUCCCAUUGUUCUCCACGUGGAGUCCGAGAGAGGAAGAAGUAAGGAUGACUGCUCGAGAAUCUGCAUUCUAACAGCCUGUCCCAGGACCUUUCAAAGGGUAGUGACAGCCUGAAAAUGAGCCUGGCAUCCAACCAGCAACUGCGGUGGCAGAUGCCAACGCCUUUAUGAAGUGUUCCCCGGUUUUACAGAGCAAAAGCCAAAAAAUGCAACCUACCCUGAGCAACAGCCAGGAUGUUGAUACUGCCAGGCAAUUCCUGGCUCAGUGGACCACCACCUCCUACUUUUUGGACCAAGAGGAUACACCAGAGACCAACCUCCCGUGAUUCAGGCCUUGCUGACACAUCACUGAUCCAGCCAGAUUUCUUCCUUUGCUUGAAUUACUACCUGAGAGUCAGUGAAGUCGGACACUCAACUUCAAGUUAAUUUCCUUCUAUUUGUGGAUGUCGUCCAUGUAUAUGCCUUUCAGCCAGUGUAAUCUUUCCAAAAGUUCUUGUUGACUGUAAGAGCUUGAAAGCUCGUUAUUGUUGAAGGAAUGAGAAGACUGACAUCCAUUGUGUCUCAGUUGGUGACAGAAAUAUGUGACACUAAACAAGGCCUUUAUCCUCUGUUUAUCCAUCUGGAAAAUGAGAACAACAAUACUCACUAGUCUGGUAUGGAAGUGAUUGCCAAGGACUUUGUGAUCCACACAGGGAAGGCUCUACGCCCAGCAUGGAGUCCAACAUGGGGCUGGAACUUACCGUCCUGAGAUCAAGACCUGUGCUGCAAUUAAGAGUCAGAUGCUUCACUGACUAAGCCACGCAGGCGCCCUUUGUCUCACUGAAUUCUCAGGACUCUUCUAUCAGUUUGCUGUUCUCUCUUGAGAUCUCAGGCUCCGCCCAUCUCCGAUGUCUUUUUCCCCAUCCUGUUCCUAGCAUUGGACACAGCCUGGAUUACUCCCCAUUUCACAAAGCAUCAUUCAUACAAGGUGUUAUCAGAAGGCUUCUGGACAAGAGCUACAACUCAACUGGUCCUAAAAUGACGUGUGCUUAGAGUUUUUGUGCUGCCACCAGAAAUAACUACAGGUCGUGGUCAGAAAAAGCUAGAAAAAUCUACUGUAAAGUCUUGCUACUCAAAGAGUGAACAAACAGCAUCACAACACCUGGGAGCCAAUUCAAAAUAUUGAAGGCUGGUGGCAAGCUUGUGUGGAGCAAAUCUUUGGGGGCCUUUUUUCCAAUAGCAUUUGCUUAUUACUCUGUGUCCCUGUGUCACAUUUUGAUUUCUAUUGGGAAACCCAUUCUGUGUGGCAUGAGACAUAACCCAGAUAUUGGCCAAUCAGAAUCUUCCCUAACAAGUGAUUUGGAGAGUCCAGAUGGCUUUUCUUCCUGGAGCUAUAGAAGCUGGGCUCAUCUUUCUUGGCCUAUUAUGAAAGAAUAAGGCUAAUAUGAAAAAGAAACUUGGGACACAUCACAGCAAGAAGGAAUUGGUACCUGAAAGUGAAACUACUUUACCUGGUAACAGUCUGCAGUGCUAUUUCCUAGGAGAGUCUGCCCAUUUCAGACUCAAGAUGCUGGGGCUUACCUCUGAAUAAAGAGGUGGAGGCAAGAACCGAAACUCCUGGAUAUAUGCAAACAGUGGUCCUUGAAGCGCUCUCUCAAAGUCAUCACAAGCACUCACUGGUGCAAGAUUGUUCCGCCUUUGUUCCUCUGUUACCACUUCUGCAUAGCUGGGUGGUGCUGAAGGAAAAAGAUACACGCAAUUCGAACAGCAUGUUCUUAUGCAUGUCAAAAUACACAGAAUAGUAGGUAUUAAAAAGGAAUGUCAAGGUAAAAAUAAUAAUUGUUUUGUGAUUAAAACUAGGGGGAUAUAUGUUUUAAAUCUAACAUUAGGGACACAUCUACUUUCUGCAGAUAUAGACAAAAAUUUAAUCAUAAAAUACUAGAAGCAAAAUUACAAUCUUGAAAAUAAUCAUACGAGAUUAGGCUUAAACAUGCAUUAUUGAAUUACCUUCAGGUCUUUCACGUAGGGAUAAGCCAAGCCAGUUCAUAUUCAUGCUACACUGACUGCUUACACUUGAGGUUCUGCUACCAAAUGGAUGUAGAGGAAUGGUACCAAUGACAAGUGGCAAAUUAAGAAAUAAAUCCAUAGCUCCAGGAAUAUCCACAUAUACCUAAAACAUUGAAAGGAGAUGAUAGGUUUAGAAUUCCAAGCAUUAUUUCUUUUUAAAAAACCAAUAACCCAAUUUUAACAUUACCUUAGUUUUUCAUUUACUUUCUUUUAUACAUACAUAUAUAUAUAUAUUCUAAAAUAAAAGUUCCUCCACUAUGUAUAGUACUGUGUAGUACAUUUACAUGUGACAUAAAAUAGUGGUAAUUCAAAUUAAAGGUUUACAUAUGUAUGUAUCUAUGAUACAUGGAAGAUAAAAACCAAACCCUGGAAUAAGACAGAAUGAUAUCCUCAUGACUUUAAUAAUGAACAAACUCUUAAAUCUAUACAUACCAUUAGUGAAUAUUCCACACGAAUGAUGCUACAGUCGAGGAUAGAGGGAGAAACUGGUGGAAUUUUCAGCAAUUUUCCAUUCCAUGUAUCGGUCUUUCCAGAUGAUAAGGAUUCUCCUCGCAAGUUAGCCACCAGCUGUUUUACUUCCUUCAUUUUCCCUUUGGCAUAGAAGGCCUGUGUUUGGUAAAUGGCUGCCUUUGGCACUACCAUUCGGGAAGAGCAGUUCUCAAUCUCAGCAAAUAUCUGAAUUGAUUCACCUGGUGAAAAAAAACAUGUAUCUACUGUUAAACAAAUAAAAAACCCUCUAAAAAUGUAGAUAAGUGUGAAAGUUCAAUGGACUACAUGGAUGAAAAACUGUCCCCAAAGUGGCAAGUAACUUAAAUUGGUAAAAUGGCUACUGAUUUCUAGUAGCUAUUUAAAAAUGGACAUCACACAGGACACCUGAGUGGCUUAGCAGUUGAGCAUCUGCCUCUGACUCAGGGCAUGAUCCUGGGGCCUGGGAUCGAGUCCCAUGCUUCUCCCUCUGCCUAGGUCUCUGCCUCUCUCCUGUGUCUCUCAUGAAUAAAUAAAUAAAAUCUUAAAAGAAAAAAAAAAAAAAAAAAGGAAACCACAUUCCCAUGCAUGAAAGAAAACGGAGUUAUUUUACCAAAGAAUACUGUAUUACAUUUGCAUUUAGUAGAAAUACUAUAAAUUUACACCAAGAGCUAAGAGAAGAAAGACCACUUCUGUGGGAAUCCAUCUCAUACAUACCUGGGGUAUAGCCCUUCCUUUCGAUUUUGGCACUUAAGGAUAUUGGGCCUGAGGUACAGAACCAGCAACAGAGAGUCUUUUCUUUUGUGCCUGCUUGGGGUGACUGCAAGAAAUAAAUUUAGAGAAAAGGGUCAAUGUAUAAAUUAGAGCAGUAACAGAAUGUUUUAAAAUAAAACUCUUGAUUCUUGGGGAAUUAAAAUUAAAAGCAGUGUUGCUUUUUUUCCCCCAAGUGUAUUGAAAUAUACUUUUUAAAAAACUAACCAAUGGCUUCUGAAUUAUACAAUUAUUUUUGUUUUAUACAAAUUUCCAUCCAGUUAAAAAAAAAUAAAACAAAAAACAUGGCUUAACAUAUCCCAUAAACACAGUUUUCGCUCACACUAUUUACAUAUAUAGUAAUUAAAAACAAACCAAUCAAACAAACAAACAAACAAAAAAACCCUUUCCACAUUCCACUUAAACUGCCUUAAAAAAAGGCAGCUUGGAAAGCAACUUGGUUCUAAUCCCAAAUGUUAACAUCUUUCUUUGAGAAUGUAAAAAUCAGUUUUGUGAAAAAAGGAAAACUCUCAUUUUUAGGAUUCUUAUUUGCCUAAAGAUGUUAUCAUUUGCUUAAAACUGAUGAAGUUUUUAAAGUCAAAUUUGAAUCUUGUGAAAAAAUGCAAUUAAAAAGGAUUUCUUUUAAAAUGUAAUGGUUUUUUCAUGAAAGUGACAAUCUCCCCAUUAUUUGACAACUAUCCCUAUAUUGGAAUAUGCAAUGCAGUCCAAAUUUUAGAGUAUGAUCUUUUCAUGGUAAGUGACAUACAUUUUCUUACAAUAAAAAUAAUUGAUAGUACUGUUCCGCCUCCACUUAAAUUAUCCAGGGAACAGAUCUAUUUUUUGUUAUUCUGUUAAUUUCAGAGUAAGAGUUAUUUCAUACCAUAUGUUGCUUUGACUUUAAAAAAUUUUUAAAGUCAUUAUACUGUCAGGAAAUACGAGCAUAUUCUUCACUAAUUUGUGUGCUCUUGACUGUAUUUUAAAAAAUAUAUUAGUAUUUACGGAAUUUGAAAUCACGGUUUUAAAAUUAUACAGACUGCAUAGUUUAGGUGAUUAUUCUUUAGUAUUUAUAUGCCAAAAAACAAAGAAUGAAGAAUUCAGUCAAUUCUUACCAGUAAUGAAGGAGUGUUGAUAUCUAUAUGCUCAAAGACUGUAAAUUCCUUCUUUAAUUUUACUGGUAGAAGCCAAGGCCUGUGCAAUUCGGCUUUCACCCAAUAGCGCACACUGCCAUGUCGGCCUUCGAAUGAGGUAGCAAGUGGUCUGUGCAGAAUAUAAAGUUCAAUAUAUUAAUUUUAUACCUCUUUUUAAUAAUUAUACAGUAGGUCAGCAUAGAAGUGUUACUAUAUUGCACUGUUCAUGUAUCAAUGAGGUAUCAAACAGAAUUUUUUUAAUUUCCAAAGGGAGAAGUCAUUGGGGGAAAAAAAGCCUUCUGUUUUCCAAAAAACAAUAGCUAACACUUAAGUAUUAUAGAAAUUUUGCUUUAAAAAGCCAGAAGAAUACAAUCCCUUUAAACUAAGAAGAGGCUACUUUCAAUGCUGGUGGCAAAAUUAUGAAAGUUUGGAAAGUCAGCAAUUCUUGAAAGGUCGGUAAUUUAAAAACAAAGUUAAGAAUGGUUUCAGCAUUUCUAAUAUUCUACACACUGGCUACGAAUUCUCUCUCCUUUUAUAGGAACUAAUUAAGAAGGUCUAGAAAAUGCCUGGGACUGUUGUUAUAAUUUCAAAAAUUUCACAUUUUAUAAACUCUUCUGAAACUCUAAAAAGCUGCUUUUCCGUUUCUUAGGUUACUCAUGUCCUAAGAACUCUUUUUGGCUGUGUUGUAUAA